Molecule: ribosomal RNA, 415 nt
Filed under: uncultured bacterium
Lineage: Bacteria
Description: bacterial SSU rRNA
Rfam family: Bacterial small subunit ribosomal RNA
Source: RNAcentral
UGAGGAAUAUUGGUCAAUGGACGAGAGUCUGAACCAGCCAAAUCGCGUGAAGGAAGACUGCCCUACGGGUUGUAAACUUCUUUUGUACAGGAAUAAAAGACAUUACGUGUAAUGUAUUGCAUGUACUGUACGAAUAAGCAUCGGCUAACUCCGUGCCAGCAGCCGCGGUAAUACGGAGGAUGCGAGCGUUAUCCGGAUUUAUUGGGUUUAAAGGGUGCGCAGGCGGGAUUUUAAGUCAGCGGUGAAAUUUUCAGGCUCAACCUGAACACUGCCGUUGAAACUGGGAUUCUUGAGUAUGGAUGAAGUAGGCGGAAUUCGUUGUGUAGCGGUGACAUGCUUAGAUAUAACGAGGAACUCCGAUUACGUAGGCAGCUUACUAAGCCAUAACUGACGCUCAAGCACGAAAGCGUGGGGA